Molecule: ribosomal RNA, 1095 nt
Filed under: human gut metagenome
Description: bacterial SSU rRNA
Rfam family: Bacterial small subunit ribosomal RNA
Source: RNAcentral
AGAGUUUGAUCCUGGCUCAGGACGAACGCUGGCGGCACGCUUAACACAUGCAAGUCGAACGAGAGAAGAGAAGCUUGCUUUUCUGAUCUAGUGGCGGACGGGUGAGUAACACGUGAGCAAUCUGCCUUUCAGAGGGGGAUACCGAUUGGAAACGAUCGUUAAUACCGCAUAACAUAAUUGAACCGCAUGAUUUGAUUAUCAAAGAUUUAUCGCUGAAAGAUGAGCUCGCGUCUGAUUAGCUAGUUGGUAAGGUAACGGCUUACCAAGGCGACGAUCAGUAGCCGGACUGAGAGGUUGAUCGGCCACAUUGGGACUGAGACACGGCCCAGACUCCUACGGGAGGCAGCAGUGGGGAAUAUUGCACAAUGGAGGAAACUCUGAUGCAGCGAUGCCGCGUGAGGGAAGAAGGUUUUAGGAUUGUAAACCUCUGUCUUCAGGGACGAAAAAAGACGGUACCUGAGGAGGAAGCUCCGGCUAACUACGUGCCAGCAGCCGCGGUAAUACGUAGGGAGCGAGCGUUGUCCGGAAUUACUGGGUGUAAAGGGAGCGUAGGCGGGAUCGCAAGUCAGAUGUGAAAACUAUGGGCUUAACCCAUAAACUGCAUUUGAAACUGUGGUUCUUGAGUGAAGUAGAGGUAAGCGGAAUUCCUAGUGUAGCGGUGAAAUGCGUAGAUAUUAGGAGGAACAUCAGUGGCGAAGGCGGCUUACUGGGCUUUAACUGACGCUGAGGCUCGAAAGCGUGGGGAGCAAACAGGAUUAGAUACCCUGGUAGUCCACGCCGUAAACGAUGAUUACUAGGUGUGGGGGGACUGACCCCUUCCGUGCCGCAGCAAACGCAAUAAGUAAUCCACCUGGGGAGUACGACCGCAAGGUUGAAACUCAAAGGAAUUGACGGGGGCCCGCACAAGCAGUGGAGUAUGUGGAUUAAUUCGAAGCAACGCGAAGAACCUUACCAGGUCUUGACAUCGUAUGCAUAGCUCAGAGAUGAGUGAAAUCUCUUCGGAGACAUAUAGACAGGUGGUGCAUGGUUGUCGUCAGCUCGUGUCGUGAGAUGUUGGGUUAAGUCCCGCAACGAGCGCAACCCUUACUGUUAGUU